AUGAAUGUCUUGGCCUGGAACUGUCGAGGAUUGGGGUUGGAUUCGACAGUGGGCGAACUAAGAGACUUGGUAUGGUCUUAGAACCCAGCGGUGGUGUUCUUAUGCGAAACAAAGAAGAAAGCAUGGGCUAUGGAGAAAAUUAAAUGGAGUCUAGGAUUUAAAUGUGGAGUGGCAGUGGACUGUGAAGGACUAAGUGGAGGCCUAGCGUUGUGGUGGAGGGAGAACCCUCCAGGUGACUGUCUGGCCAUGGUGUCAGCAUUUCAUGGAUGCAGAAAUUGUGGUGGAUGGAAGACCCUAUAG
This 300-nucleotide ribosomal RNA is filed under the name Triticum aestivum (bread wheat). RNAcentral's name for it is "partial small subunit ribosomal RNA". The record is from RNAcentral. Lineage: Eukaryota; Viridiplantae; Streptophyta; Magnoliopsida; Poales; Poaceae.